This 404-nucleotide ribosomal RNA is filed under the name uncultured bacterium. Its description in RNAcentral is "bacterial SSU rRNA". It matches the Rfam family "Bacterial small subunit ribosomal RNA", at positions 917 to 1322 of the family's 1533-position model. The record is from RNAcentral.
GGACCCGCACAAGCGGUGGAGCAUGUGGUUUAAUUCGAUGCAACGCGAAAAACCUUACCUACACUUGACAUACUUGGAAUCUUUUGUAAUGAAAGAGUGCCUUUUGGAGCCAAGAUACAGGUGCUGCAUGGCUGUCGUCAGCUCGUGUCGUGAGAUGUUCCGUUAAGUCGGAUAACGAGCGCAACCCUUACCCUUAUUUGCCAGCGAUUCGGUCGGGAACUAUAAGGGGACUGCCGGUGAUAAACCGGAGGAAGGUGAGGACGACGUCAAGUCAUCAUGGCCCUUACGAGUAGGGCUACACACGUGCUACAAUGGGGAAUACAGACGGACGCUAAGCCGCGAGGUGGUGCUAAUCUCAAAAACCCUAUCUCAGUUCGGAUUGUACUCUGCAACUCGAGUACAUG